Molecule: ribosomal RNA, 324 nt
Filed under: uncultured eukaryote
Lineage: Eukaryota
Description: partial 18S ribosomal RNA
Rfam family: Eukaryotic small subunit ribosomal RNA
Source: RNAcentral
CCCUUAGAUGUUCUGGGCUGCACGCGCGCUACACUGAAGCGUUCAACGAGUAUUCACCUUGCCCGGGAGGGUUGGGUAAUCUUUUGAAAACGCUUCGUGAUGGGGAUAGAUUAUUGCAAUUAUUAAUCUUCAACGAGGAAUUCCUAGUAAGUGCAAGUCAUCAACUUGCGCUGAUUACGUCCCUGCCCUUUGUACACACCGCCCGUCGCUCCUACCGAUUGAGUAUACCGGUGAAUUAUUCGGAUUCCAGUUUUGGGUGGCAACACUUGAAGCAGGGAGAAGAUUUGUAAGCCAUGAUACUUAGAGGAAGGAGAAGUCGUAACA